GCAGGAAUGGGCCAUCCUGACGCCCACGCAGAAGGCAUUGUACAAGAAAGUGAUGCUAGAGAACUAUGCAGCUGUGGCCUUCCUCGCAGCAUCACCCACUUCCAAACCAGCUCUGAUCUCUCGCCUGGAGCAAGGGAAGAAGCCGUGGUUCACUCAAGUACACUGCGCCCUGAGCAGGAGGGACCGGAGAGUAGGUCACAAGAGAUGCAGCUUUAAACUAAGAAAUCUUACUUACUUCGCUGAAAUAAUGUCACAUGCAAUAACAUUAAAAUUUCUUCAAAAUCAUCAGCACUGGGAAGACAGAAAAAAGGCUUAAUUCUUGACUUUUAAGUACCAAUUGUGCAAGUAAGAAGUCGAUUUAAGGGCCACCUUAAGUGAUGUCAAAUGUGUAUUUUCUUUUUCUGUAGACUCCUGGGUUUUCAUAUAGUUAAUGUUUUCCAACUCAUUAAAAUUGUUCUUUUUUU
Molecule: long non-coding RNA, 464 nt
Organism: Tupaia belangeri chinensis (Chinese tree shrew)
Lineage: Eukaryota; Metazoa; Chordata; Mammalia; Scandentia; Tupaiidae
Exons: 3
Source: RefSeq, a predicted model, not a curated record